AUUGGCUGUUGGGAAGGACCAGGUGUUGACCAUUGAUGAGCAAGAGGAAGGAUUCCAAGAUGGCGGCUGCCCCAGAGUCUUCAUUCAAAGGAGCUCCCAAAUGAGGCUGCUGCUUGUGUGUUUGUCUCCAGGACAAGCUGCAGCUACUCCUUUCCUCUCAAGAUCAGCAGGAAAGUCAAGGUCCUUGUUGUGAAUGUGUUGCCUGCCAUUUGGGUGAAUGAGUGCUGCCCACCAUCAGGCCAUCAGCCACUGCAGUCAAUAAUCUGGAAUUUCUUUUAUGUAUCCUGACUCCUCCUCUGCCUCUUUGGAACAAUUCACCUGAGAGGCUGCCUUCCAGGCUAUAGAACUCAGUACAGUCAUGUAAUAAAACAUAACUUUCUACUA
This is a long non-coding RNA of Bos taurus (domestic cattle), 384 nucleotides long. Lineage: Eukaryota; Metazoa; Chordata; Mammalia; Artiodactyla; Bovidae. The record is from Ensembl.